Molecule: long non-coding RNA, 1017 nt
Filed under: Anser cygnoides (Swan goose)
Lineage: Eukaryota; Metazoa; Chordata; Aves; Anseriformes; Anatidae
Description: lncRNA (ENSACDG00005008423.1)
Source: RNAcentral
AUGCUGCUGGUGCUCUUGGAUGGCAGAGCACAAAGACAUGCCACAGUAGUCCCAGGUAUGUUCUGGCCGAGGUGGAUCCACUUCCAUCUGUUCCUCCACAUCUGGUGGAUCCAGCUCCAUGGUGUUGGGCAGAAGGCUAAGCCAGUCUUUGCCCAGGACUGCCCAAACGGGAUGCCUUCUGUCCGGAACGUUCUCGGGCCAGGGUGCCGAACGAGGGGGUCGUCCAGUCCCACGCCUUGGUCCUAUGCCACUGUCAGGUUGAUCUUGAUGCAUGGGUCUGACGCUGCCCUCUGGCUUAUGGCCAUUACUGGGUCCUGCACUGUGCUCUGGACUAUUGGCAUGCCUCUGCUCCCCGCGGCUGUCUGCCCGAUGCUCCCGCCUUCGCCCCACAUCACCGUUGCUCCUAUGGUAAGGCCCAGGCCCCCUGUUGCUGGGUGUUUGAGGGGCCGGCCUGUUCCCCGCAUUGUUGCGGUGCCAAUGGUAUUGCCUGUAUCUGUCUGUGGGCUGGGCGCCAGAGGUCCCUUGGGCACUGGUGUCUCUUGUGCCACCGGCGCUAUCCCUCCACCCACGACACCUCUCCUUCUGCUCAGGUGCAUUCCUUCUUGGUGCUUCACCAGACGGCAUUGCUGUCCUCGCACACCAAGGAGGCCUGCUGCUCGCCUUGCUCUUCUAGUCUUCCUCCUGCCGCACAGGCCGGCAGUCAGAGGGCCCAGAUGCUCAGCGAAUGGUGGGCCACCUGCAGGGGUCCUGUUUUAUAGGGCCCGCAGCAAAGGCCGGGCAGUGGUGGCCACGGUGACCUCAGCAAGCCUCUGUGGUGGAGCGGCCAAAGGUGGCUGUGUUGGGACUGGCCUGGAAGAUGCACUCACGUGGACAAGGAGGAGGGCUGGGGGGGCUGAGGGCCACUUUUCUGGGGCUGGCUCCCGCAUGCCUUUUGGCUUGCCAGAGAGAAAGGCUGCCCCUCGGCCACAGGGACUGCCCUGCACCUCCCAUCCUUUUUUUCCCUGGGUUUAUUUUUAA